CGGAAAAUGUCGUGUUGGCAAAAGAAUGAAUUCCCCAGUGGCUUCAGCACAAAAAUCUGUGAGAAGGCAUGUGGUGGAUCUUCAUCUGCCUGUAACAGAUUUAACAGAUACGUUAUUAGAAUAAAUAUUAUGAAGUCAUGCAAAAAUUAUACAAAUGCUGUCUGAGAUAUAAAAUACAUAACAAGUAAAAUGUA
This is a long non-coding RNA of Osmia bicornis bicornis, 194 nucleotides long. RefSeq lists it as uncharacterized. The record is from RefSeq and is a predicted model, not a curated record. The transcript is spliced from 2 exons. Lineage: Eukaryota; Metazoa; Arthropoda; Insecta; Hymenoptera; Megachilidae.